Molecule: long non-coding RNA, 2151 nt
Organism: Dromiciops gliroides (monito del monte)
Lineage: Eukaryota; Metazoa; Chordata; Mammalia; Microbiotheria; Microbiotheriidae
Exons: 2
Source: RefSeq, a predicted model, not a curated record
GUCACUGCCGCCGGCGGCCGUUGCGGCCGUUGCCGCCGCCGUCGCCGUCGCCGUCGCCUCCUCCUCCUCUUUCCCCCCCCUCCUGCCGUAACGUCCUGACGCUCCGCAGGGACCCCUGACUGGACGGACGGAGGAUGUGAGACUGUACCUCCUUUUUCCCCCAGAGGACUGCCAGUGGGACACUGCUUAGAACAUCAGGCGUUUUUGACCGGUUGAUUACUUUUGUUAAACUACUUUUUCCUCUUAUUCUUGUUGGAAUGGCUCUGAGAGGGGAAAUGGAGGAUAGGAUGGGAAAUGUAUGUGAAGUAAAAGUAAAAUAUGUCAAUAAAAACUUUUAAAAGCCAAAGGAAAGAAAGUGGAUUUUGUAGCUCACUCAAAAAUACAUAAGCUACAUAGCUAAGGCAUGUUUAACUGUGCUUCCAGCCAUUUGUUUUAAAACUAGUUAAUUCAUUGGGUGGUUUUGAUAUCUUCCAGUAUUUUACUAUAAUAAAAAUCUCAUUCCAAGAGAUCUUGGUCAUGUCAGUAUAGGGUAUAAUAUGAGACCUUUCAUUUUAUCAAGUGACACAUAUUCUGAAAACUUGGUCUAGUUCAUUCAUAUAUAUGUAUGAUAGCCAGAAUAAGAGCCUGAAAACAAGUGCAGCAUGAAGUAAAUGUUAACUGUUAUAAUAUAAAUGCCCUGGAAAUUUGGAAGUUGUGUUGGAUCAACAUAGCCAGUAGUAAAAUUUAUUAGUUCAAUAGUUGGGUACAUUUAACAGAAACAUGUUUGAGAGAGUGAUUAAGUACCUAUACAUUCUUAGGGAAACCUGAGUCUUCAAUCCAGCUUAGUGGUGAGGUAAUUCUUGGAUUCCUUUUUAAUUACUUAAUACAUACUUCUAAAUUUCUGAGCAUUAGAAAUUUUCUUUAAAUAAAAUAGAAGCACAUAGUUUAAUACCAGCUUUAUUCUUUUUUAUCUUCACUUCUUUUGCACAACAACAACCUUAAGUUGACAAUGAAAAUGCACUAAAGGAACUAGAUGAUGUCAGAUUGGUAGGAAAUCCAUCACAAGCUUCUUGUUCUAUAUGUUUGAAAGCUGUACACACUAUUUUAUGAGGAAUGGAUCCUACACAGGGCCAGCAGCAUUAAAACCCAAACUUAAUCCAUUGAGGGCUGUGCUGAGUGCCUUUUUGGCUUUGACUUUGUCAGUGGUCUGGCCUUUUAAAAAAAAAAUUGGAUUAAUUAAAUGGAGGAUAUGAUCCACCAGCUUAAUGAUAAAAGAAGCCUUAAUAGUGGCCAGCACUCCCUUUUUGUUCCAUAAAGGACACCUAACUGAUGCAUUAUUAGGCCUAAUAUAUCACUUUAUCCCCUAGCAUGGUUAGGAACUAAAUCACUAUAGCACCAUAAUCAGCCUUUCUCUGACCACGUGGGGAUAAAAGUGUGUCAGUGUAUACAUAAUACAUGGAUGUACAUGUCUGCACAUCAUAGUGGAUGCAUACACAUUACAGAUGUUUGUUUGAAAUAAUGAAGGUUCAAUAAAAUGCUAGAGUACAGCAGACAAAGGUGAACUAUGCAAUAUAAGAUCAUUGUUAGAAAACCACAUUUGCCCAGUGACCAACCUGAAUGAAAAGUUGAAAUUUCAGUUUUAAAUGGUUACUUAAUAGUCUUUGUAUGGAGUGUGUAUUAAUUUGUAAACAACUAUUUGCACUGACAGUUUGCACUUGGUAUUUCUAUUUUAUCUUUAUAUUUCUACCACAAAAAUCGUUUACUACAAAACCAAUCUCCCUCCUACCCCAUGACUGCAACCUAUGUAUGGUAUGAAUAUUAUACCAGGACUACCCUGAUUUGACAGCUUGGAGGGCAUAACCAAAAGUUUAAAGAGGAAAGGGACUAUAAUUGCAAAUGCCCUACAUCCAUAGAUUCUCAUUCAUUCUCUCUCUCACACAUACACACACACACACACACACACACUUUCCCAGAAUAACUAAUCUUAUCUGACAACUCUGCACAGAGAAAAUGGCAUUGGAUUGGGGUUUUUUCCUACUUAACCCCUUUUACAAAAUCCUAAUCGCUUUUCUGACAUUUUUACUUCUCCAGGGUUUCCAACAACAUCUUUAUUUUUUUUUUUUUGCUCUCCUUAUUUUCCUCCUUUAAAGCCAUGGAAAGCUAUGAUAGGAG